CGUAGACCCGAAACCGGGUGAUCUACCCCUGUCCAGGGUGAAGGUGCGGUAACACGCACUGGAGGCCCGAACCCACGCAUGUUGAAAAAUGCGGGGAUGAGGUGGGGGUAGCGGAGAAAUUCCAAUCGAACCCGGAGAUAGCUGGUUCUCCCCGAAAUAGCUUUAGGGCUAGCCUCGGAAAGAAGAAUCGUGGAGGUAGAGCACUGAUUGGGUGCGGGGCCCGCAAGGGUUACCAAGCUCAGUCAAACUCCGAAUGCCAUAGAUUUAGUUCCGGGAGUCAGACAGUGAGUGCUAAGAUCCAUUGUCGAAAGGGAAACAGCCCAGACCAUCAGCUAAGGUCCCCAAGUGUGUGUUAAGUGGGAAAGGAUGUGGAGUUGCACAGACAACCAGGAUGUUGGCUUAGAAGCAGCCACCAUUGAAAGAGUGCGUAAUAGCUCACUGGUCGAGUGACUCUGCGCCGAAAAUGUAACGGGGCUAAACACACCACCGAAGCUAUGGCUUGAUGCUUUGCAUCAGGGGUAGGGGAGCGUUGAAUGCGGGUUGAAGGUGUACCGGAAGGAGCGCUGGACUGCAUUCAAGUGAGAAUGCCGGUAUGAGUAACGAAAAGAUCUGUGAGAAUCAGAUCCGCCGAAAGCCUAAGGGUUCCUGAGGAAGGUUCGUCCGCUCAGGGUAAGUCGGGACCUAAGGCGAGGCCGAUAGGCGUAGUCGAAGGACAACAGGUGGAAAUUCCUGUACCACCGUAAUCCGUUAUGAGCGAUGGGGUGACGCAGUAGGGUAGUGACGCGGACUGAUGGAUGUCCGUCUAAGCAGUGAGGCUG
RNAcentral lists this ribosomal RNA (818 nucleotides) under Paenibacillus polymyxa. Its description in RNAcentral is "partial 23S ribosomal RNA". It matches the Rfam family "Bacterial large subunit ribosomal RNA", at positions 708 to 1527 of the family's 2925-position model. The record is from RNAcentral. Lineage: Bacteria; Bacillati; Bacillota; Bacilli; Caryophanales; Paenibacillaceae.